RNAcentral lists this ribosomal RNA (438 nucleotides) under uncultured bacterium. RNAcentral describes it as "bacterial SSU rRNA". It matches the Rfam family "Bacterial small subunit ribosomal RNA", at positions 8 to 489 of the family's 1533-position model. The record is from RNAcentral.
AGAGUUUGAUCCUGGCUCAGAGCGAACGCUGGCGGCAUGCUUAACACAUGCAAGUCUCACGGGCAGCAAUGUCAGUGGCGGACGGGUGAGUAGACGCGUAGGAAUCUAUCCUUAGGUGGGGGAUAACUGUGGGAAACUACAGCUAAUACCGCAUGAUACCUGUGGGUCAAAGGCGCAAGUCGCCUGAGGAGGAGCCUGCGUACGGAUUAGCUAGUUGGUGGGGUAACUGCCUACCAAGGCUACGGAUCGUUAGCUGGUCUGAGGGAUGAUCAGCCACAUGGGGACUGAGACACGGCCCAAACUCCUACGGGAGGCAGCAGUGGGGAAUAUUGGACAAUGGGCGAAAGCCUGAUCCAGCAAUGCCGCGUGUGUGAAGAAGGUCUUCGGAUUGUAAAGCACUUUCGACGGGGACGAUGAUGACGGUACCCGUAAGAAGAA